This is a long non-coding RNA of Ictalurus punctatus (channel catfish), 403 nucleotides long. NCBI's taxonomy places the organism in Eukaryota, Metazoa, Chordata, Actinopteri, Siluriformes, Ictaluridae. The record is from Ensembl.
AUUUAAAGCUAAUGGGGUCGGGGUGACAGGAUUACGGAGAAAAGCUGCAGUAAUGAGCUUUUGAUGUCGUGCCGGCUAUCUGUCAACUGUUUGGAGGAUUUGCCAAGCCUGAUAGGAAUAUACCAAUACGCCUCACACAGUCCUGGAAUCUGGUUAAGUAAUAAAUAAAUUCGACAGUGAACUCUCGGCUCAUGGCGUGAACCGUUUGAGGUGUUUUGGAGCAGCCUGCGGUCAGCCCGAGGCGGAAUCACACCGAUUUGGCUUUCGGGGAGAGGAAAAAAAAAAAAAAGGGUUUGUGUUCGAUUAUCCCGAGAUUUAGGAUGGCGAGACCUUCUUCAUUUGGGAUUGCAGAGUCUCCAGACGGUAAUUUUUACUCCCCAUAAGCUCAUAAAGAGAACAAAAG